CCUACGGGUGGCUGCAGUGGGGAAUAUUGGACAAUGGGCGAAAGCCUGAUCCAGCCAUGCCGCGUGUGUGAAGAAGGCCUUCGGGUUGUAAAGCACUUUCAGUGGGGAAGAAAGCCUUGGGGCUAAUACCCUCGAGGAAGGACAUCACCCACAGAAGAAGCACCGGCUAACUCCGUGCCAGCAGCCGCGGUAAUACGGAGGGUGCGAGCGUUAAUCGGAAUUACUGGGCGUAAAGCGCGCGUAGGCGGUCUGAUAAGCCGGUUGUGAAAGCCCCGGGCUCAACCUGGGAACGGCAUCCGGAACUGUCAGGCUAGAGUGCAGGAGAGGAAGGUAGAAUUCCCGGGGUAGCGGUGAAAUGCGUAGAGAUCGGGAGGAAUACCAGUGGCGAAGGCGGCCUUCUGGACUGACACUGACGCUGAGGUGCGAAAGCGUGGGUAGCAAACAGGAUUAGAUACCCGGGUAGU
RNAcentral lists this ribosomal RNA (464 nucleotides) under Vreelandella stevensii. RNAcentral describes it as "partial 16S ribosomal RNA". It matches the Rfam family "Bacterial small subunit ribosomal RNA", at positions 338 to 794 of the family's 1533-position model. Lineage: Bacteria; Pseudomonadati; Pseudomonadota; Gammaproteobacteria; Oceanospirillales; Halomonadaceae. The record is from RNAcentral.